Molecule: transfer RNA, 82 nt
Filed under: Exophiala sideris
Lineage: Eukaryota; Fungi; Ascomycota; Eurotiomycetes; Chaetothyriales; Herpotrichiellaceae
Description: tRNA-Tyr (ATA) (tRNA-Tyr-ATA-1-1)
Rfam family: tRNA
About the family: Transfer RNA (tRNA) molecules are approximately 80 nucleotides in length. Their secondary structure includes four short double-helical elements and three loops (D, anti-codon, and T loops). Further hydrogen bonds mediate the characteristic L-shaped molecular structure. tRNAs have two regions of fundamental functional importance: the anti-codon, which is responsible for specific mRNA codon recognition, and the 3' end, to which the tRNAs corresponding amino acid is attached (by aminoacyl-tRNA synthetases). tRNAs cope with the degeneracy of the genetic code in two manners: having more than one tRNA (with a specific anti-codon) for a particular amino acid; and 'wobble' base-pairing, i.e. permitting non-standard base-pairing at the 3rd anti-codon position.
Source: RNAcentral
GGAUUGUUAGCUCAGUGGUUAGAGCGACAGGGGAUUAUAGCUCCUAGCCUGCAGGCCGUAGGUUCGAUUCCUACACAAUCCA